UGGGGGAUAUUGCACAAUGGGCGAAAGCCUGAUGCAGCGACGCCGCGUGGGGGAUGAAGGCUUUCGGGUUGUAAACCUCUUUCGCUAUCGAACAAGGCCCGCUUAGGGUGGGUUGAGGGUAGGUGGAGAAGAAGCGCCGGCUAACUACGUGCCAGCAGCCGCGGUAAUACGUAGGGCGCGAGCGUUGUCCGGAAUUAUUGGGCGUAAAGGGCUUGUAGGCGGCUUGUUGCGCCUGCUGUGAAAACGCGGGGCUUAACUUCGCGCGUGCAGUGGGUACGGGCAUGCUUGAGUGUGGUAGUGGUGACUGGAAUUCCAGGUGUAGCGGUGGAAUGCGCAGAUAUCUGGAGGAACACCGAUGGCGAAGGCAGGUCACUGGGCCAUUACUGACGCUGAGGAGCGAAAGCAUGGGUAGCGAACAGG
Molecule: ribosomal RNA, 420 nt
Filed under: bacterium
Lineage: Bacteria
Description: partial 16S ribosomal RNA
Rfam family: Bacterial small subunit ribosomal RNA
Source: RNAcentral